RNAcentral lists this ribosomal RNA (490 nucleotides) under uncultured bacterium. RNAcentral describes it as "bacterial SSU rRNA". It matches the Rfam family "Bacterial small subunit ribosomal RNA", at positions 28 to 511 of the family's 1533-position model. The record is from RNAcentral.
GAUGAACGCUAGCUACAGGCUUAACACAUGCAAGUCGAGGGGCAGCGCAGUGUAGCAAUACAUGGGCGGCGACCGGCGCACGGGUGCGUAACGCGUAUCCAACCUUCCCGUUACUCAGGGAUAGCCUUCCGAAAGGGAGAUUAAUACCUGAUGGUGUUCAAAUUCCGCAUGUUAUUUGAACUAAAGAUUUAUCGGUAACGGAUGGGGAUGCGUGACAUUAGGUAGAUGGCGGGGUAACGGCCCACCAUGCCUACGAUGUCUAGGGGUUCUGAGAGGAAGGUCCCCCACACUGGAACUGAGACACGGUCCAGACUCCUACGGGAGGCAGCAGUGAGGAAUAUUGGGUCAAUGGUCUGACGACUGAACCAGCCAUGCCGCGUGAAGGUCACGGCCCUAUGGGUCUUAAACUUCUUUUGCGAGGGAGCAAUAAGGCGCACGUGUGCGUCGAUGAGAGUACCUCGCGAAUAAGCAUCGGCUAACUCCGUGCCAG